This 467-nucleotide ribosomal RNA is filed under the name unidentified nematode Sourhope farm. Its description in RNAcentral is "SSU rRNA". It matches the Rfam family "Eukaryotic small subunit ribosomal RNA", at positions 58 to 529 of the family's 1831-position model. Lineage: Eukaryota; Metazoa; Nematoda. The record is from RNAcentral.
UCUAAGCAGAGCCCUUGAAUGGUAAAGCCGCGAAUGGCUCAUUACAACAGCCACAGUUUAUUGGGUCUCCAUUUACUUGGAUAACUGAGCUAAUUGUUGAGCUAAUACACGCACCAAAGCUUCGACCUCACGGGAGGAGCGCAUUUAUUAGAACAAAACCAAUCGGACUUCGGUCCGUCCAUUGGUGAAUCUAAAUAACUUAGCCGAUCGCAUGGUCUCGCACCGGCGACUCACCUUUCAAAUGUCUGCCUUAUCACCUUUCGAUGGUAGUUUAUACGCCUACCAUGGGUUUUACGGGUAACGGAGAAUAAGGGUUCGACUCCGGAGAGGGAGCCUGAGAAACGGCUACCACAUCCAAGGAAGGCAGCAGCCACGCAAAUUACCCACUCCCGGCACGGGGAGGUAGUGACGAAAAAUAACGAGGCGGUUCUCUAUGAGGCCCGCCAUCGGAAUGGGUACAAUCUAAA